AAAACAUCGCCUCCCGCAAAAAUCAACGUAUAGGAGGUCUUGCCUGCCCAGUGACUGUAAGUUAAACGGCCGCGGUAUUUUGACCGUGCAAAGGUAGCGCAAUCACUUGUCUUUUAAAUGAAGACCUGUAUGAAUGGUAGAACGAGGGCUUAACUGUCUCCCCCCUCCCGUCAAUGAAAUUGAUCUACCCGUGCAGAAGCGGGUAUAAUAAUACAAGACGAGAAGACCCUUUGGAGCUUAAGAUAAAAGACCAACUAUGUCAAAAGUCCCAAAAAAGACUAAACCAAGUAGCACUGGUCCCAAUCUUCGGUUGGGGUGACCACGGGAGAAAACAAAGCUCCCACGCGGACUGGGGCAGCCCCCUAAAACUAAGAAAGACAUCUCUAAGGCACAGAAUAUCUGACCAAAAAGAUCCGGCUACAUGCCGACCAACGGACCAAGUUACCCUAGGGAUAACAGCGCAAUCCCCUUCCAGAGUCCAUAUCGACAAGGGGGUUUACGACCUCGAUGUUGGAUCAGGACAUCCUAAUGGUGCAGCCGCUAUUAAGGGUUC
Molecule: ribosomal RNA, 553 nt
Filed under: Pseudancistrus pectegenitor
Lineage: Eukaryota; Metazoa; Chordata; Actinopteri; Siluriformes; Loricariidae
Description: partial 16S ribosomal RNA
Rfam family: Bacterial large subunit ribosomal RNA
Source: RNAcentral